RNAcentral lists this non-coding RNA (46 nucleotides) under Schistosoma margrebowiei. Lineage: Eukaryota; Metazoa; Platyhelminthes; Trematoda; Strigeidida; Schistosomatidae. The record is from RNAcentral.
GCACUGCUGAGGAGUCCUAAACUAGGACGAAACAGCCGUCCAGUAC